This 253-nucleotide ribosomal RNA is filed under the name uncultured bacterium. RNAcentral's name for it is "partial 16S ribosomal RNA". It matches the Rfam family "Bacterial small subunit ribosomal RNA", at positions 524 to 776 of the family's 1533-position model. The record is from RNAcentral.
UACGUAGGGGGCGAGCGUUGUCCGGAAUUAUUGGGCGUAAAGGGCGCGUAGGCGGCCAUGCGUGUCUUCCGUGAAAUCCCUCGGCUUAACUGAGGACGUGCGGAAGAAACUGCAAGGCUCGAGUCCGGGAGAGGGGGGUGGAAUUCCCAGUGUAGCGGUGAAAUGCGUAGAUAUUGGGAGGAACACCGGUGGCGAAGGCGGCCCCCUGGACCGGUACUGACGCUGAGGCGCGAAAGCGUGGGUAGCAAACGGG